RNAcentral lists this ribosomal RNA (473 nucleotides) under uncultured bacterium. RNAcentral describes it as "SSU rRNA". It matches the Rfam family "Bacterial small subunit ribosomal RNA", at positions 26 to 518 of the family's 1533-position model. The record is from RNAcentral.
AGGACGAACGCUGGCGGCGUGCUUAACACAUGCAAGUCGAGCGGAAAGGCCCUUCGGGGUACUCGAGCGGCGAACGGGUGAGUAACACGUGAGCAACCUGCCCUUAGCUCCGGGAUAGCUCCGGGAAACCGGAAUUAAUACCGGAUAUGACCUAGGCCGACAUCGGCUGUGGUGGAAAGUUUUUCGGCUGGGGAUGGACUCGCGGCCUAUCAGCUUGUUGGUGGGGUAAUGGCCUACCAAGGCGACGACGGGUAGCCGGCCUGAGAGGGCGACCGGCCACACUGGGACUGAGACACGGCCCCAGACUCCUACGGGAGGCAGCAGUGGGGAAUCUUGCGCAAUGGGCGAAAGCCUGACGCAGCGACGCCGCGUGGGGGAUGAAGGCCUUCGGGUUGUAACCCCUUUCAGCAGGGACGAAGCGAAGUGACGGUACCUGCAGAAGAAGCGCCGGCUAACUACGUGCCAGCAGCCGC